This 478-nucleotide ribosomal RNA is filed under the name uncultured bacterium. Its description in RNAcentral is "partial 16S ribosomal RNA". It matches the Rfam family "Bacterial small subunit ribosomal RNA", at positions 28 to 507 of the family's 1533-position model. The record is from RNAcentral.
GACGAACGCUGGCGGCGUGCUUAACACAUGCAAGUCGAGCGGGCAUUAGUGGAUAUCAGCCUCGGCUGAAGAUGUAUAGCGAGGGUAGCGAACCGGUGAUUAGCGAGUGAUCAGCCUGACUUGAACUGAGGGAUGGUAUGCUGAAACCGGGAAAAAUAUGGCACCGAAUGGUAGAAACACGUGUUACAACGUUGAAGGAUUUAUCGGUCAUGGAUGGGCCCGCGUCUGAUUAGCUAGUUGGUGAGAUAACAGCCCACCAAGGCGACGAUCAGUAGCUGGUCUGAGAGGAUGAUCAGCCACACUGGAACUGAGACACGGUCCAGACUCCUACGGGAGGCAGCAGUGGGGAAUAUUGCACAAUGGGGGCAAGCCUGAUGCAGCGACGCCGCGUGAACGAUGAAGGUAUUCGUGUCGUAAAGUUCUGUUAUAUGGGAAGAUAAUGACGGUACCGUAGAAGAAAGCCCCGGCUAACUACGUG